CCCUUAGAUGUUCUGGGCCGCACGCGUGCUACACUGAGUGGAUCAGCGGGUCAGGUUGCGCGAAAGCGUUUCCUAAUCUUUAAAUCCGCUCGUGAUGGGGAUUGACGGUUGCAAUUUUCUGUCAUGAACGAGGAAUACCUUGUAAGCGCGGGUCAUCAUCCCGCGCUGAAUACGUCCCUGCCCUUUGUACACACCGCCCGUCGCUACCACCGAUUGAACGGUUUAGUGAGGGCCUCGGAUUGGUCUCGGCCCGCUCUUUACCGGGCGGCGCCGUUGGUCGAGAAGACGCUCGAACUUGAUCGUUUAGAGGAAGUAAAAGUCGUAACA
RNAcentral lists this ribosomal RNA (327 nucleotides) under uncultured eukaryote. Its description in RNAcentral is "partial 18S ribosomal RNA". It matches the Rfam family "Eukaryotic small subunit ribosomal RNA", at positions 1470 to 1796 of the family's 1831-position model. The record is from RNAcentral.